This 374-nucleotide ribosomal RNA is filed under the name uncultured Bacteroidota bacterium. Its description in RNAcentral is "bacterial SSU rRNA". It matches the Rfam family "Bacterial small subunit ribosomal RNA", at positions 380 to 750 of the family's 1533-position model. Lineage: Bacteria; Pseudomonadati; Bacteroidota. The record is from RNAcentral.
ACUCUGACCCAGCCAUGCCGCGUGCAGGAAGACUGCCCUAUGGGUGGUAAACUGCUUUUAUACAGGAAGAAACACACCUACGUGUGAGGUGCUUGACGGUACUGUAAGAAUAAGCACCGGCUAACUUCGUGCCAGCAGCCGCGGUAAUACGGAGGGUGCAAGCGUUAUCCGGAAUCAUUGGGUUUAAAGGGUCCGCAGGCGGUCAAUUAAGUCAGAGGUGAAAUCCCGUCGCUCAACGACGGAACUGCCUUUGAUACUGGUUGACUUGAGUUAUACGGAAGUAGAUAGAAUAAGUAGUGUAGCGGUGAAAUGCAUAGAUAUUACUUAGAAUACCAAUUGCGAAGGCAGAUCACUAGUAAUCAACUGACACUGAU